This 528-nucleotide unclassified non-coding RNA is filed under the name Hevea brasiliensis (rubber tree). Lineage: Eukaryota; Viridiplantae; Streptophyta; Magnoliopsida; Malpighiales; Euphorbiaceae. The record is from RNAcentral.
AAACUCAACAUAGCAUAUUUAUGGAUUUUUUCAAAUCCAUCGAGGAAAACUAGCCAUUUAAGGCUCAUAACACUUAAAUAUAACUAAUCUAAUAACAAAAAAUGCAAUUUCAAUAUAAAAUCACAAAACCCUAACCCUAACAUGCAUAAAUUUCCCAAAACUCAUCUUAAAAACAACUUUUCAUGAAAUUGAAGUUAUAGAAACCUAAUCUCUUAUCAACUUUCUAAGAUCUACCUAUUAGAUCAAGGAGAAAAGAAUAUUACCUCUUUUCUUGGAGCUUGGAGGUGAGAAAAUCAAAGCUCUAAAACUUAAAUAUACUUUUCUAAACUUCUAAAUAAAAUAAUCUACCUCCAGAUCUUGAAAAACCCAAAGCAAUCUUUUCAAAGAGUUUCUUGCAUGCUCCAACAAUUGAGUGAGAGAAGAAGAAGAAGAGAAAAACCCAAUUAUUUUGGGCAGAAACAAGGGCCUUGGUCCAUUUUGUACCUUUGAUAGUCGAGAUACUUUUGGCUGUCGGAAGCCAUGCUUUCG